CCUACGGGAGGCAGCAGUAGGGAAUCUUCCACAAUGGGCGAAAGCCUGAUGGAGCAACGCCGCGUGAGUGAUGAAGGCCUUCGGGUUGUAAAACUCUGUCAUUCGGGACGAACCGGAGUCUGAGGAAAUGCAGACUCUCUGACGGUACCGGAGGAGGAAGCCCCGGCUAACUACGUGCCAGCAGCCGCGGUAAUACGUAGGGGGCAAGCGUUGUCCGGAUUCACUGGGCGUAAAGCGCGCGCAGGCGGUGAUGUAAGUCUGAGGUGAAAACCCGAAGCUCAACUUCGGGACUGCCUUGGAUACUGCGUCACUUGAGGAUAGGAGAGGCAAGGGGAAUUCCACGUGUAGCGGUGAAAUGCGUAGAGAUGUGGAGGAACACCUGUGGCGAAGGCGCCUUGCUGGCCUAUUUCUGACGCUGAGGCGCGAAAGCGUGGGGAGCAAACAGGAUUAGAUACCCUGGUAGUCCACGCUGUAAACGAUGAGUGCUAGGUGUAGGUGGGCUCAUACCACUCUGUGCGACGCUACGACAUAAGACACUCCGCCCGUCGGGGUAGGUACGACGUCGCGAACGACGUAGUAAACGUUAAAAGGUAAAGUUAGUUACGGCGUUGAGGACGUUGCCGACGGACGACGACGAGGGAGGUUAGG
RNAcentral lists this ribosomal RNA (648 nucleotides) under uncultured bacterium. Its description in RNAcentral is "bacterial SSU rRNA". The stretch from base 1 to 543 matches the Rfam family "Bacterial small subunit ribosomal RNA", at positions 338 to 873 of the family's 1533-position model. The record is from RNAcentral.